GGGUUGUGAGGUUAAGCGACUAAGCGUACACGGUGGAUGCCCUGGCAGUCAGAGGCGAUGAAGGACGUGCUAAUCUGCGAUAAGCGUCGGUAAGGUGAUAUGAACCGUUAUAACCGGCGAUUUCCGAAUGGGGAAACCCAGUGUGUUUCGACACACUAUCAUUAACUGAAUCCAUAGGUUAAUGAGGCGAACCGGGAGAACUGAAACAUCUAAGUACCCCGAGGAAAAGAAAUCAACCGAGAUUCCCCCAGUAGCGGCGAGCGAACGGGGAGCAGCCCAGAGCCUGAAUCAGUGUGUGUGUUAGUGGAAGCGUCUGGAAAGGCGCGCGAUACAGGGUGACAGCCCCGUACACAAAAAUGCACAUGCUGUGAGCUCGAUGAGUAGGGCGGGACACGUGGUAUCCUGUCUGAAUAUGGGGGGACCAUCCUCCAAGGCUAAAUACUCCUGACUGACCGAUAGUGAACCAGUACCGUGAGGGAAAGGCGAAAAGAACCCCGGCGAGGGGAGUGAAAAAGAACCUGAAACCGUGUACGUACAAGCAGUGGGAGCACGCUUAGGCGUGUGACUGCGUACCUUUUGUAUAAUGGGUCAGCGACUUAUAUUCUGUAGCAAGGUUAACCGAAUAGGGGAGCCGAAGGGAAACCGAGUCUUAACUGGGCGUUAAGUUGCAGGGUAUAGACCCGAAACCCGGUGAUCUAGCCAUGGGCAGGUUGAAGGUUGGGUAACACUAACUGGAGGACCGAACCGACUAAUGUUGAAAAAUUAGCGGAUGACUUGUGGCUGGGGGUGAAAGGCCAAUCAAACCGGGAGAUAGCUGGUUCUCCCCGAAAGCUAUUUAGGUAGCGCCUCGUGAAUUCAUCUCCGGGGGUAGAGCACUGUUUCGGCAAGGGGGUCAUCCCGACUUACCAACCCGAUGCAAACUGCGAAUACCGGAGAAUGUUAUCACGGGAGACACACGGCGGGUGCUAACGUCCGUCGUGAAGAGGGAAACAACCCAGACCGCCAGCUAAGGUCCCAAAGUCAUGGUUAAGUGGGAAACGAUGUGGGAAGGCCCAGACAGCCAGGAUGUUGGCUUAGAAGCAGCCAUCAUUUAAAGAAAGCGUAAUAGCUCACUGGUCGAGUCGGCCUGCGCGGAAGAUGUAACGGGGCUAAACCAUGCACCGAAGCUGCGGCAGCGACGCUUAUGCGUUGUUGGGUAGGGGAGCGUUCUGUAAGCCUGUGAAGGUGUGCUGUGAGGCAUGCUGGAGGUAUCAGAAGUGCGAAUGCUGACAUAAGUAACGAUAAAGCGGGUGAAAAGCCCGCUCGCCGGAAGACCAAGGGUUCCUGUCCAACGUUAAUCGGGGCAGGGUGAGUCGACCCCUAAGGCGAGGCCGAAAGGCGUAGUCGAUGGGAAACAGGUUAAUAUUCCUGUACUUGGUGUUACUGCGAAGGGGGGACGGAGAAGGCUAUGUUGGCCGGGCGACGGUUGUCCCGGUUUAAGCGUGUAGGCUGGUUUUCCAGGCAAAUCCGGAAAAUCAAGGCUGAGGCGUGAUGACGAGGCACUACGGUGCUGAAGCAACAAAUGCCCUGCUUCCAGGAAAAGCCUCUAAGCAUCAGGUAACAUCAAAUCGUACCCCAAACCGACACAGGUGGUCAGGUAGAGAAUACCAAGGCGCUUGAGAGAACUCGGGUGAAGGAACUAGGCAAAAUGGUGCCGUAACUUCGGGAGAAGGCACGCUGAUAUGUAGGUGAAGCGACUUGCUCGUGGAGCUGAAAUCAGUCGAAGAUACCAGCUGGCUGCAACUGUUUAUUAAAAACACAGCACUGUGCAAACACGAAAGUGGACGUAUACGGUGUGACGCCUGCCCGGUGCCGGAAGGUUAAUUGAUGGGGUCAGCGCAAGCGAAGCUCUUGAUCGAAGCCCCGGUAAACGGCGGCCGUAACUAUAACGGUCCUAAGGUAGCGAAAUUCCUUGUCGGGUAAGUUCCGACCUGCACGAAUGGCGUAAUGAUGGCCAGGCUGUCUCCACCCGAGACUCAGUGAAAUUGAACUCGCUGUGAAGAUGCAGUGUACCCGCGGCAAGACGGAAAGACCCCGUGAACCUUUACUAUAGCUUGACACUGAACAUUGAGCCUUGAUGUGUAGGAUAGGUGGGAGGCUUAGAAGUGUGGACGCCAGUCUGCAUGGAGCCGACCUUGAAAUACCACCCUUUAAUGUUUGAUGUUCUAACGUUGACCCGUAAUCCGGGUUGCGGACAGUGUCUGGUGGGUAGUUUGACUGGGGCGGUCUCCUCCUAAAGAGUAACGGAGGAGCACGAAGGUUGGCUAAUCCUGGUCGGACAUCAGGAGGUUAGUGCAAUGGCAUAAGCCAGCUUGACUGCGAGCGUGACGGCGCGAGCAGGUGCGAAAGCAGGUCAUAGUGAUCCGGUGGUUCUGAAUGGAAGGGCCAUCGCUCAACGGAUAAAAGGUACUCCGGGGAUAACAGGCUGAUACCGCCCAAGAGUUCAUAUCGACGGCGGUGUUUGGCACCUCGAUGUCGGCUCAUCACAUCCUGGGGCUGAAGUAGGUCCCAAGGGUAUGGCUGUUCGCCAUUUAAAGUGGUACGCGAGCUGGGUUUAGAACGUCGUGAGACAGUUCGGUCCCUAUCUGCCGUGGGCGCUGGAGAACUGAGGGGGGCUGCUCCUAGUACGAGAGGACCGGAGUGGACGCAUCACUGGUGUUCGGGUUGUCAUGCCAAUGGCACUGCCCGGUAGCUAAAUGCGGAAGAGAUAAGUGCUGAAAGCAUCUAAGCACGAAACUUGCCCCGAGAUGAGUUCUCCCUGACCCUUUAAGGGUCCUGAAGGAACGUUGAAGACGACGACGUUGAUAGGCCGGGUGUGUAAGCGCAGCGAUGCG
This 2873-nucleotide ribosomal RNA is filed under the name Escherichia coli. Its description in RNAcentral is "partial 23S ribosomal RNA". It matches the Rfam family "Bacterial large subunit ribosomal RNA". Lineage: Bacteria; Pseudomonadati; Pseudomonadota; Gammaproteobacteria; Enterobacterales; Enterobacteriaceae. The record is from RNAcentral.